RNAcentral lists this transfer RNA (69 nucleotides) under Leptonycteris yerbabuenae (Lesser long-nosed bat). RNAcentral's name for it is "tRNA-Ile". It matches the Rfam family "tRNA". Rfam says of the family: Transfer RNA (tRNA) molecules are approximately 80 nucleotides in length. Their secondary structure includes four short double-helical elements and three loops (D, anti-codon, and T loops). Lineage: Eukaryota; Metazoa; Chordata; Mammalia; Chiroptera; Phyllostomidae. The record is from RNAcentral. RNAcentral also lists the same sequence under 1 other name.
AGAAAUAUGUCUGACAAAAGAGUUACUUUGAUAGAGUAAAUUAUAGGGGCUAAAAUCCCCUUAUUUCUA